UGCGUAGGCGGGCUAAUAAGUCAGUGGUGAAAUCUUCCGGCUCAACCGGGAACCUGCCAUUGAUACUGUUAGUCUUGAGUUCGGCUGAGGUAGGCGGAAUGUGUAAUGUAGCGGUGAAAUGCUUAGAUAUUACACAGAACACCAAUUGCGUAGGCAGCUUACUAGACCGACACUGACGCUGAGGCACGAAAGCGUGGGGAGCGAACAGGAUUAGAUACCCGAGUAGUCC
Molecule: ribosomal RNA, 229 nt
Filed under: uncultured bacterium
Lineage: Bacteria
Description: partial 16S ribosomal RNA
Rfam family: Bacterial small subunit ribosomal RNA
Source: RNAcentral